AUAAUCAUUAGUCUUUUAAUUGAAGGCUUGUAUGAAUGGUUGGACAAAAAGUAAGCUGUCUCAGUUAUAAUAAUUGAAUUUAACUUUUAAGUGAAAAGGCUUAAAUGGAUUAAGGGGACGAUAAGACCCUAUAAAGCUUGACAAUAAGUUAAUUAUAUUAUAAAUUGUUAGUAUAACUUGAUUUUAAUUGACGUUUGUUACGUUGGGGCGACGAGAAUAUAAUGAGUAACUGUUUUUAAAUGUUUAAUGACAAAUAUAAUUGGUAUUUGAUUGAUCCUUUAUUAAAGAUUAAAAGAUUAAGUUACUUUAGGGAUAACAGCGUAAUCUUCUUUGAGAGUUCAUAUCGACAAGAAGGUUUGCGACCUCGAU
RNAcentral lists this ribosomal RNA (369 nucleotides) under Penaeus semisulcatus. RNAcentral describes it as "partial 16S ribosomal RNA". It matches the Rfam family "Bacterial large subunit ribosomal RNA", at positions 1961 to 2530 of the family's 2925-position model. Lineage: Eukaryota; Metazoa; Arthropoda; Malacostraca; Decapoda; Penaeidae. The record is from RNAcentral.